RNAcentral lists this ribosomal RNA (253 nucleotides) under uncultured bacterium. Its description in RNAcentral is "partial 16S ribosomal RNA". It matches the Rfam family "Bacterial small subunit ribosomal RNA", at positions 524 to 776 of the family's 1533-position model. The record is from RNAcentral.
UACGUAGGGGGCAAGCGUUGUCCGGAUUUAUUGGGCGUAAGGAGCGUGUAGGCGGCCAUGUAGGUCCGUUGUGAAAACUCGAGGCUCAACCUCGAGACGCCGAUGGAAACCAUGUGGCUAGAGUCCGGAAGAGGAGAGUGGAAUUCCUGGUGUAGCGGUGAAAUGCGCAGAUAUCAGGAAGAACACCCGUGGCUAAGGCGGCUCUCUGGGACGGUACUGACGCUGAGACGCGAAAGCGUGGGGAGCAAACAGG